This 390-nucleotide RNase P RNA is filed under the name Aliiruegeria lutimaris. RNAcentral describes it as "Pseudoruegeria sp. HD-43 Bacterial RNase P class A". It matches the Rfam family "Bacterial RNase P class A". Rfam says of the family: Ribonuclease P (RNase P) is a ubiquitous endoribonuclease, found in archaea, bacteria and eukarya as well as chloroplasts and mitochondria. Its best characterised activity is the generation of mature 5'-ends of tRNAs by cleaving the 5'-leader elements of precursor-tRNAs. The record is from Rfam by way of RNAcentral. Lineage: Bacteria; Pseudomonadati; Pseudomonadota; Alphaproteobacteria; Rhodobacterales; Roseobacteraceae.
GCGGAUGGCCGGAUGACCGCGGGGUUCGGCGGUGCUUGCAUCGCCUGCCGCGAGGAAAGUCCGGACUCCCUGAAGCAACGGUGCCGGGUAACGCCCGGGCGGGGAAACCCGACGGAAAGCGCCACAGAGAACAGACCGCUGCGUUCGCGCAGCAAGGGUGAAACGGUGGAGUAAGAGCCCACCGCGGGGCUGGCAACAGUCCCGGCACGGCAAGCCCCACCGGGAGCAAUGCCAGAUAGGACCUCCGCGGGGCCAGACCCCAGGGCCGCUUCAGCCCCAGGCAGGUCGGGUAGGCAGCUUGAGCGUGUCGGCGACGGCACGUCUAGAGGAAUGGUCAUCGAAGGGGCGCGAGCCCUGGAACAGAAUCCGGCUUACAGGCCAUCCGCGCUA